CUCUCGAAAAACUGGAAAGAAUUUCCUUGUCGUGAGAAGAUCAAUGUGUGUCUAUUGAAGAGGAGACAACUGCAAACAGAUUCACGGCCUCAGGGUCUCCCCCGCACACCCAUUCCUUGUGGCAGAAGAUCUGACUGCAGCUGAACUGGAAAAGAACCUAUUUGGCGCUUCUCUCCCAGAACCCUGCUUCCUUGAACGCGAAGGCGAAUCAUUUCAUCCGUGGCUCAUGAACCCCGGAUCCUUCCAAUCAGCUCUAAUGAAGGAAUUGUUCCUCAGUCUUGCCUUCUAAACACAGCAAGUUUAGCACUGGCUCACAUCAAAGCUCAAUGGAGAGGCAAGAUGGGGGAAACAAUAUUUGUUCAAAGGAAGUGAACUGCUCCCUUUAAUUACCCUAUUCUUCUUUAUUAGGAUUCUUGAGUUGUUGGGUGUUUCUUUUUAACAAAUUAAAAAAAGUGUAUUUCUCGAUAGCGUAUUUACAAUGUAAAUAUAUUCCUGGGAGAAAACGUCACGGAUCAAUUGUAAAGGACCCGGAUACAUAAUUUUAAAAAAUCAGUUUCAGUGUAUAUGAGGUUCUCACCCCACUUUCGCUUCUUAGUCAGAUUUGUUUAUGC
RNAcentral lists this long non-coding RNA (611 nucleotides) under Monodelphis domestica (gray short-tailed opossum). RNAcentral's name for it is "lncRNA (ENSMODG00000043611.1)". Lineage: Eukaryota; Metazoa; Chordata; Mammalia; Didelphimorphia; Didelphidae. The record is from RNAcentral.